Molecule: long non-coding RNA, 302 nt
Organism: Manis javanica (Malayan pangolin)
Lineage: Eukaryota; Metazoa; Chordata; Mammalia; Pholidota; Manidae
Source: RefSeq, a predicted model, not a curated record
UCCCUUACCUCACCUUUUUCAAGGCUUCGCCUGUGGAGCAAUCGGGUGGUGGCACUGGCCGGUUUUCGGGAAGUUCUGCUUGGUCUCACACCCAGCCUGCUCCGGUCCCGUCUGCAUAACGGCCCGGCAUCGUUCGCGUCCUGCCUGACUCCGCGACUCAGGUGGAGGCUCCAGGACUGCGGUCUGCAUGGAGAAACUGCUCAGAUUUGGCCAAGAUCACAUUGCUAGGAGGUGGGAAAUUGGAACCCACUAUGGCUGAUUCCAAAAUUAAUACAGUGUUUGUAGCCACUUAUACAAUAAUA